UACAGAGGGUGCAAGCGUUGUUCGGAAUUACUGGGCGUAAAGCGCGUGUAGGCUGCGGAGUAAGUCGGAUGUGAAAUCCCUUGGCUUAACCAAGGAAGUGCAUCCGAUACUGUUUCGCUUGAGUGUCGGAGGGGAUGGCGGAAUUCCCGGCGUAGAGGUGAAAUUCGUAGAUAUCGGGAGGAACACCUGUGGCGAAAGCGGCGCACUGGACCACUUCUGACGCUGAGGCGCGAAAGCUAGGGGAGCAAACAGG
Molecule: ribosomal RNA, 253 nt
Filed under: uncultured bacterium
Lineage: Bacteria
Description: partial 16S ribosomal RNA
Rfam family: Bacterial small subunit ribosomal RNA
Source: RNAcentral